This 107-nucleotide small nuclear RNA is filed under the name Cricetulus griseus (Chinese hamster). Lineage: Eukaryota; Metazoa; Chordata; Mammalia; Rodentia; Cricetidae. The record is from RNAcentral.
AAAACUAUGGAACGCUUCAUGAAUUUGUGUGUCAUCCUUGCACAGGGGCCAUGCUAAUCUUCUCUGUGUGGUUCCAAUUUUAGUAUAUGUGCUGCUGAAGUGAGCAC